This 513-nucleotide ribosomal RNA is filed under the name uncultured bacterium. Its description in RNAcentral is "partial 16S ribosomal RNA". It matches the Rfam family "Bacterial small subunit ribosomal RNA", at positions 28 to 523 of the family's 1533-position model. The record is from RNAcentral.
GACGAACGCUGGCGGCAUGCCUAAUACAUGCAAGUCGAGCGAACAGAUGAAGUGCUUGCACUUCUGACGUUAGCGGCGAACGGGUGAGUAACACGUAAGGAAUCUACCUAUAAGCGGGGGAUAACAUUCGGAAACGGGUGCUAAUACCGCAUAAUAUCUUCUUCCGCAUGGAAGAAGAUUGAAAGACGGCUCUGCUGUCACUUAUAGGUGACCUUGCGGUGCAUUAGUUAGUUGGUGGGGUAACGGCCUACCAAGACGAUGAUGCAUAGCCGACCUGAGAGGGUGAUCGGCCACAUUGGGACUGAGACACGGCCCAAACUCCUGCGGGAGGCAGCAGUAGGGAAUCUUCCGCAAUGGGCGAAAGCCUGACGGAGCAAUGCCGCGUGAGUGAAGAAGGCCUUCGGGUCGUAAAACUCUGUUAUAAGAGAAGAACAAAUUGUAGAGUAACUGCUACAGUCUUGACGGUAUCUUAUCAGAAAGCCACGGCUAACUACGUGCCAGCCGCCGCUGUAA